Vitis riparia (riverbank grape) is the source of this 1213-nucleotide RNA transcript. RefSeq lists it as uncharacterized. The transcript has 5 exons. NCBI's taxonomy places the organism in Eukaryota, Viridiplantae, Streptophyta, Magnoliopsida, Vitales, Vitaceae. The record is from RefSeq and is a predicted model, not a curated record.
CCGAAUAAAAGAGAGAUAAAGUCAUCCACCCUCUUGCCAGGGCCACUGCGGGGAGGAAGGAGGAAGAAGCAAGAAGAAUGCAAUGCUCAAACACAUACUGGGCAUCAAGUGUUCAUCCUCCUGCUCGGUUCUUUACUCAGAGCUCUCAUCAUAAUGAAGAUACUAGUUGUCCGGUGGUAGCUCUUCCUCUACCUUCGCACGUGAAAUCCAUCACAAGCCCAUCCAAUCCAUUUGUAAAGCACUGCUUCAAGCUCCGUCACAGUUCUUCUUAUCGCUACUCUCAUGGUUCUGCUCUUGUUGUGGGCACUACUCCCAUAAGGGAAAUAUACAAGUUUCAACAGUCAACCCAAGAGAGAACUGUUGAAAUGGAUUGUUUACUUAUACUCGAUAAAGCUGAGAUUCCUGAAGGGCUAGAUGAUUUCUCUGUUCGUCGUGUGCGUGUGAGCUCUAUGGUGAUGAAAAAACUUUCUGGGUUGCAAUCAACUGAAUCUGUUGAAGCUAUUGCCCUGAUGAGAAUUCCUACCAGUUUCUUCAGUGUAAAUGAUGAUACAUAUGAAAAAGACUGUCGGAGGUGGUUCCAAUCUCCUCAUCGAAUUCUAGUUCUUGAUAGGAUCCAGGACCCAGGUAACCUUGGUACAUUACUUAGAUCAGCUAUGGCCUUUAGAUGGGGUGGUGUUUUUCUGCUGAGUGGGUGUUGUGAUCCAUUCAAUGAGAAGGCCCUCCGAGCUAGCCGGGGAGCCUCUUUUCAGCUCCCUAUAGUUUCUGGCAGUUGGAUUCAUCUAGAAACCCUCAAAAAUGAAUUCCAAAUGAAGAUGAUAGCUGGCCAUCCUGACAGUAACCAGAAAAGGAAGCCAGUGUCUCCUCUUUCUCAAGGGCUGGCUGAUUCUUUAGCAGAUGUACCAUUGUGCUUCGUUCUGGGCAGCGAGGGGAGUGGCCUUUCAGAGAAAUCCUGGCAGUUAUGUGAGCUUGUAAGCAUUCCAAUGGCAGGAGAGUUUGAGUCUCUCAAUGUUUCAGUUGCAGGUGGGAUUUUCUUGUAUAUGCUACAACCUCAGAACCGAAGAGUUUGAUUCUCCUUUGGGAACUUAUUGCAAAGCCUAAUUGAGAAAUAUACAGCUCAGGAGGCUGCGAUUCAACAAGUGGAGUAUUGGGACAGAGUAAAGGAUGAGAGGAGCUUGUCAAUGGAGGAAUUAGCUUGUAAGAAGGAAGCCAAGGA